GCGCUGAAGCCAGUCGAAGAUACCAGCUGGCUGCAACUGUUUAUUAAAAACACAGCACUGUGCAAACACGAAAGUGGACGUAUACGGUGUGACGCCUGCCCGGUGCUGGAAGGUUAAUUGAUGGGGUCAGCCGCAAGGCGAAGCUCCUGAUCGAAGCCCCAGUAAACGGCGGCCGUAACUAUAACGGUCCUAAGGUAGCGAAAUUCCUUGUCGGGUAAGUUCCGACCUGCACGAAUGGCGUAAUGAUGGCCAGGCUGUCUCCACCCGAGACUCAGUGAAAUUGAACUCGCUGUGAAGAUGCAGUGUACCCGCGGCAAGACGGAAAGACCCCGUGAACCUUUACUAUAGCUUGACACUGAACAUUGAGCCUUGAUGUGUAGGAUAGGUGGGAGGCUUUGAAGUGUGGACGCCAGUCUGCAUGGAGCCAACCUUGAAAUACCACCCUUUAACGUUUGAUGUUCUAACCUAGGCCCAUAAACUGGGUCGGGGACCGUGUCUGGUGGGUAGUUUGACUGGGGCGGUCUCCUCCUAAAGAGUAACGGAGGAGCACGAAGGUUGGCUAAGCAUGGUCGGACAUCAUGCGGUUAGUGCAAAGGCAUAAGCCAGCUUGACUGCGAGAGUGACGGCUCGAGCAGGUACGAAAGUAGGUCUUAGUGAUCCGGUGGUUCUGAAUGGAAGGGCCAUCGCUCAACGGAUAAAAGGUACUCCGGGGAUAACAGGCUGAUACCGCCCAAGAGUUCAUAUCGACGGCGGUGUUUGGCACCUCGAUGUCGGCUCAUCACAUCCUGGGGCUGAAGUAGGUCCCAAGGGUAUGGCUGUUCGCCAUUUAAAGUGGUACGCGAGCUGGGUUUAGAACGUCGUGAGACAGUUCGGUCCCUAUCUGCCGUGGGCGUUGGAAGAUUGAGAGGGGUUGCUCCUAGUACGAGAGGACCGGAGUGAACGCACCACUGGUGUUCGGGUUGUCAUGCCAAUGGCAUUGCCCGGUAGCUAAGUGCGGAAGAGAUAACCGCUGAAAGCAUCUAAGCGGGAAACUUGCCUCGAGAUGAGUCUUCCCUGUCGCUUUAAGCGACCUAAAGGAACGUUUAAGACUAAGACGUUGAUAGGCUGGGUGUGUAAGCGUAGCGAUACGUUGAGCUAACCAGUACUAAUGAACCGUGAGGCUUAACCUG
This 1169-nucleotide ribosomal RNA is filed under the name Proteus mirabilis. RNAcentral describes it as "bacterial LSU rRNA". It matches the Rfam family "Bacterial large subunit ribosomal RNA", at positions 1764 to 2925 of the family's 2925-position model. The record is from RNAcentral. Lineage: Bacteria; Pseudomonadati; Pseudomonadota; Gammaproteobacteria; Enterobacterales; Morganellaceae.